UACCAGCACCCCGAGUGGUCGGGACGAUUAUUGGGCCUAAAGCAUCCGUAGCCGGUUUUACAAGUCCUCCGUUAAAUCCAGCUGCUUAACAGAUGGGCUGCGGAGGAUACUACAAGGCUAGGAGGCGGAAGAGGCAAGCGGUACUCAGUGGGUAGGGGUAAAAUCCUCUGAUCCAUUGGAGACCACCAGUGGCGAAGGCGGCUUGCCAAUACGCGCUCGACGGUGAGGGAUGAAAGCUGGGGGAGCAAACCGG
Molecule: ribosomal RNA, 253 nt
Filed under: uncultured bacterium
Lineage: Bacteria
Description: partial 16S ribosomal RNA
Rfam family: Archaeal small subunit ribosomal RNA
Source: RNAcentral